Molecule: long non-coding RNA, 1241 nt
Organism: Megalobrama amblycephala (Wuchang bream)
Lineage: Eukaryota; Metazoa; Chordata; Actinopteri; Cypriniformes; Xenocyprididae
Exons: 3
Source: RefSeq, a predicted model, not a curated record
GACUGUCAACUCAGUGGUGUAACCAAUCCCAGAUUCUCCUUUAGCCAGGGGCGGGAUAUUUCGGCAAAUGUGAAACUUUUCCAGCCGGUUCCCUCUGCUCACUAAAACGUUUUUUGAUUUUCAUUGUUUCUGGGCCCAACUUUUGUUAUCAGCCUUUGUGUAUGUUAAUUGCAUUUAGCUAAUUAUUAUCAUCAUAUCUUCCAAACGAUUUUGCUUCUCGUAGACGCUAAUAAAACUUAAUGUGUCCAAAAUGAAGCGCACCGACUGGAAAGAAACAACAACGAUAUUCAUGAAAAGAUUUGGGUCAAACCUGAGAAAGCAACUUUGCACAACAAGAUUCUCUCCAGAUGAACCGUUUCAGUCCUAUUCAGCUUCUUCACAAGCCUUCAGCCUGAGCUCUUUCAGCAUUGUCACUCUUGCCCUGUCCAUACACAUACAAUUGCUAUUCUAAAUGAUUUUCUAUCACUUGUCUAUCAACUGUCACUUAUCACAUAAAAAUGCCACUCUUUGUUUAUUCAACCUGUUCUUUACAUUUUAUCCACUACUUGGCCAGCAAUAUCAAUGGCAGAUUGUAUUAUUGAAUAAUAGAGCUGUUUUGAUUGCAUUGGUUGCUGCCUUAUCAGACAUAUUUUUCACCAACACAACAGCAGGUGUCAGAAUUGGUUCCAUGUGUAUUGGAAUCAGAUCUUGACCGAACUUGUCUUUUCUUUGGAAAAUGAUCAGUCUUACCAUCGUAGGUGGGAUGUUUGGUGCUUAAAUGCCACAAGUUUUAGCAGGUCCUUGGCACAUCGCCAGAGAAAAACACAGUGGAUGUGGUUAAGCCUGAUCUUGUGAAUCUCAACAUUUACAUUGUUUUGUCACACUAUCAGCUAGUCACUCACCAUACAAUUUGUACAGGUGUGUUGAUCUAACUACAUAUUUGAUUCACUAAUAAUGAGGAGAACAGCAUCCCAGUUCUUUACACUCUCCAGGAAAAGAUGUGCAGCUGUAAAUGGUUUUAUACUGAAACCCAGCUAACCAGCUAGAGCACUGACUUGACAAACUUUUUCAGACCAUACUGCUGAUGGAAGCAAAAUGUUUUGCGGUUAAAUAAUGUUUAAGAAAUUGAAAAACGUAUUCGUGAAAAGAAAUGUACUCAACCAAUAUGCUAGGCAUUACAAACUAUUGUACUGAAUUGAUUUCCUUACUUAAAGUUUAAGCCCACACACUUUUUUUACUUCAUUAAAUCAAAAUUAAAGUUU